RNAcentral lists this ribosomal RNA (592 nucleotides) under Suzukiozyma candida. Its description in RNAcentral is "[Candida] saitoana partial large subunit ribosomal RNA". It matches the Rfam family "Eukaryotic large subunit ribosomal RNA", at positions 20 to 634 of the family's 3401-position model. The record is from RNAcentral. Lineage: Eukaryota; Fungi; Ascomycota; Pichiomycetes; Serinales; Debaryomycetaceae.
AAAAAAAAAAAUUUGCAUAUCAAAUAGCGGAGCAAAAGAAACCAACAGGGAUUGCCUUAGUAACGGCGAGUGAAGCGGCAAAAGCUCAAAUUUGAAAUCUAGCACCUUCGGUGUUCGAGUUGUAAUUUGAAGAAGGUAACCUUGGGAUUGGCUCUUGUCUAUGUUUCUUGGAACAGAACGUCACAGAGGGUGAGAAUCCCGUGCGAUGAGAUGACCAAUUCUAUGUAAGGUGCUUUCGAAGAGUCGAGUUGUUUGGGAAUGCAGCUCUAAGUGGGUGGUAAAUUCCAUCUAAAGCUAAAUAUUGGCGAGAGACCGAUAGCGAACAAGUACAGUGAUGGAAAGAUGAAAAGAACUUUGAAAAGAGAGUGAAAAAGUACGUGAAAUUGUUGAAAGGGAAGGAUAUGAGAUCAGACUUGGUGUUUUGCAACCUUAUCUUCGGAUGGGGCCCCUGCAGUUCAUCGGGCCAGCAUCAGUUUGGAUGGUAGGAUAAUGACAUUGGAAUGUGACUUGGCUUCGGUUAAGUGUUAUAGCCCUUGUUGAUACUGCCUGUCUAGACUGAGGACUGCGUCUUGACUAGGAUGCUACAUAGUCU